Molecule: long non-coding RNA, 643 nt
Organism: Clupea harengus (Atlantic herring)
Lineage: Eukaryota; Metazoa; Chordata; Actinopteri; Clupeiformes; Clupeidae
Source: Ensembl
CCAGCUCAUCAGUUGUCUAUGAUCUGCCAUAGCUCCUUGCUUUUGGGACGCUACAGACUGAACUCUUGUCCAUUUCUUGUUUAUAGUUUGUAGUGUUCUGGCCCUGAACCAUGUACAGAUAGCAAGAAGCAAAGUAUCAGGAUGUAAAAAGUAUGCAGGUAUACUAGUGAAAGAGUAUGCAGGUAUACUUGUGAAAGAUGUAAAGAGUACGCAGGUAUACUAGUGAAAGAGUAUGCAGGUAUACUAGUGAAAGAUGUAAAGAGUACGCAGGUAUACUAGUGAAAGAUUGAAAGAGUAUGCAGGUAUACUAGUGAAAGAUGUAAAGAGUACGCAGGUAUACUAGUGAAAGAUGUUAAGAGUACACAGAUAUACUAGUGAAAGAUGUAAAGAGUAUGCAGGUAUAGUAGUGAAAGAGUACGCAGGUAUACUAGUGAAAGAUGUUAAGAGUACACAGAUAUACUAGUGAAAGAUGUAAAGAGUAUGCAGGUAUAGUAGUGAAAGAGUACGCAGGUAUACUAGUGAAAGAUGUUAAGAGUACACAGAUAUACUAGUGAAAGAUGUAAAGAGUAUGCAGGUAUAGUAGUGAAAGAGUACGCAGGUAUACUAGUGAAAGAUGUUAAGAGUACACAGAUAUACUAGUGAA